This 895-nucleotide ribosomal RNA is filed under the name uncultured archaeon. Its description in RNAcentral is "bacterial SSU rRNA". It matches the Rfam family "Archaeal small subunit ribosomal RNA", at positions 1 to 872 of the family's 1478-position model. The record is from RNAcentral.
UUCCGGUUGAUCCCGCCGGACCCCACUGCUAUCGGGAUGGGACUAAGACAUGCUAGUCGUGCGCCUCCAAGCCACGGUGGAGGCGCGGCGCACAGCUCAGUAACACGUGGCUAACCUGCCCUUGGGACGGGGACAACCCCGGGAAACUGGGGCUAAUCCCCGAUAGGUGAGGACUCCUGGAAUGGGUCCUCGCUGAAAGGGCGUCUAGACCAUGCUUCUAGACGUCGCCCAAGGAUGGGGCCGCGGCCGAUCAGGUAGUUGGUGAGGUAACGGCUCACCAAACCUAUAACCGGUACGGGCCGUGAGAGCGGGAGCCCGGAGAUGGACACUGAGACAAGGGUCCAGGCCCUACGGGGCGCAGCAGUCGCGAAACCUCCGCAAUACGCGAAAGCGUGACGGGGCCAUCCCGAGUGCCGUCCGCUGAGGACGGCUUUUCCCCAGUGUAGACAGCUGGGGGAAUAAGGGGAGGGCAAGUCGGGUGUCAGCCGCCGCGGUAAUACCCGCUCCCCGAGUGGUGGGGACGCUUAUUGGGCCUAAAGCAUCCGUAGCCGGCUGGACAAGUCCCCUGUUAAAUCCAGCGAUUCAAUCGCUGGACUGCGGGGGAUACUGUCAAGCUAGGGGGCGGGAGAGGCCGGCGGUAUUCCCGGGGUAGGGGUGAAAUCUUAUAAUCCCGGGAGGACCACCAGUGGCGAAGGCUGCCGGCUGGAACGCGCCCGACGGUGAGGGAUGAAAGCUGGGGGAGCGAACCGGAUUAGAUACCCGGGUAGUCCCAGCUGUAAACGAUGCGGGCUAGGUGUUGGCACGGCUACAAGCCGUGUCAGUGCCGCAGGGAAGCCGUUAAGCCCGCCGCCUGGGGAGUACGGCCGCAAGGCUGAAACUUAAAGGAAUUGGCGGG